This is a long non-coding RNA of Bombyx mori (domestic silkworm), 910 nucleotides long. RefSeq lists it as uncharacterized. NCBI's taxonomy places the organism in Eukaryota, Metazoa, Arthropoda, Insecta, Lepidoptera, Bombycidae. The record is from RefSeq and is a predicted model, not a curated record. The transcript has 2 exons.
UUUCACGGUUCACUGUUUCUAGUCCAUGUUAUAAUAAUACUUUUGUUUAAACAAAACAAAUACGCGACACUUUCCAACAUUUCAAUGGCUUAUUACAACCGGUGUGUAAUUCCGUAACAAGGUACUGCACGAAUCUCCACAAAUUCUUGUAGAUCAAUAGAAAAUAUAACAAUGGCCGUUAUUAGCUGCCCGAAACAACGGAAUUGGAUUUCUUAUUAAUUAUAUUUAGAUUAUCGUCGACUCUUUGAAGUUUUUGACAUUUGAAAAUGGCUUUCAGCUGAUAAUGAUUACGGGACCUCUUUGGUAUACGAGUAAUUUCCAAGAUAUCUGAGUGAAGUAAUUUACAACUUUUUCCACUUGAAGCUAUCCACGGGCGUGUUAAGAAAAACUAAAAUGAUUACGUUGCGUGUGCAAUGAAAUUCGACUGGAUUGCUAAUUUUUUAGCAAUUGUUAAUAUAAUCAAUCUAAUGAAACACCUUUUUUACAUAACUUUACGUUAUAUAUUUCGAUUUAGAUAAAUUUUAUUUUAUACUUGUUUCCACUAAUCAUUUACCACUAAUUAUUUUCAGUACCUACUUAGUUUCAUAUCAUAUAAAUAAACUGAAAGAUUUAGAUAAAUAGGGUUACGUGAUUAGAGUGUUAUUUAAAAUUUAAUUAUGCAUUGACUCUCUUCAUAUUCUAGAACGUUGUUCCUUUGCCGUCUCACGAGAAGUCGUGAUGAAAACAGUAAUUCUUUUUGAUACCAUAUUGCAGAAAUAACUAGAGUCAAUAUUCUCUGUUUCGCACGACAAACACUUACAACCUGAACUGUCUACAUAUUGAUAAAUUUAGCGACCGCAUUUGCGAUUUUUUAAAGUAAAGCCAAAUUAUUUUGUGUAAUCUUAAAGCGAAUUAAAAACUAAAACGUAAA